GGGGCUAUAGCUCAGCUGGGAGAGCGCCUGCUUUGCACGCAGGAGGUCUGCGGUUCGAUCUCGCAUAGCUCCA
RNAcentral lists this transfer RNA (73 nucleotides) under Klebsiella pneumoniae subsp. rhinoscleromatis. Its description in RNAcentral is "tRNA-Ala". It matches the Rfam family "tRNA". From Rfam's summary of the family: Transfer RNA (tRNA) molecules are approximately 80 nucleotides in length. Lineage: Bacteria; Pseudomonadati; Pseudomonadota; Gammaproteobacteria; Enterobacterales; Enterobacteriaceae. The record is from RNAcentral.